RNAcentral lists this ribosomal RNA (1356 nucleotides) under Triticum aestivum (bread wheat). RNAcentral's name for it is "partial small subunit ribosomal RNA". The record is from RNAcentral. Lineage: Eukaryota; Viridiplantae; Streptophyta; Magnoliopsida; Poales; Poaceae.
AUGGAGGCGGCGGAGGAACCCCACGCCUCCGACUCGUCCGUCUCCCCUAUCGGCGUCGACGCCCCCGCCUCCAACCCGGUUGUCGCCGCCGGCGCGAGGAAGCGGAAGGCCCCGGCAGCGACUGCGAGGAAGCCUCGGAAGCAGCAGGCUCAAGAACCCAUUCAGAUCCCUGUAUACUACGGACAAAGAGAAGAGUUUUAUUGCGUGAAAGGCGAUGAUUUAGUUGAUUGUUCAUACAUUUCUCCUAGAGCAAAAGAUUGUGCACAUGUAAUCGGCCAACUACCGCCGCAGCCGCAGUCGAUGUCGUUGGUGGAUCUACAGCUCUGGAUCUUUAAGCUGUUCCGGCUCCAUCCAGAAACACAAGAUCUCUCUAUUAAGGGGUUCAUCAAACAACGCAAAACUGACUUGUUGGACGACUUUGAACCUGACUGGUAUAUGGAGUACUGCCCUUGGGACACAUGUUACUUUCAAACUGACAAGUGCUGGAGUGCCUUUGCCAAUAAAUUAAAGCGGAAAAGGAAUGUGAUGCAAAAGUUCAUGCUGUAUGCAGAAUGCUCUGAGAUCAAGCAUUAUGCUAUUUUGCUCAAAGCCGUGCAUGAUGAUUACUCUCAGUUGGCAAGGGUUGUGUUUCCUGGGACAAAAUGCCUGACAACUUCUAACUUCCGCUUCCUCCGCCUAGUGGAAGACCUGUCAAUGACACCUAAGGAAAUUAUAGCUUAUCUCGCUAAACACUAUGGCGAGCAGAUGAGCCCCCCUGAGGCGUGGAGGGCAAGGCAGAAGGCUCUGGAGCGUGAGUAUGGUACAUUUUACGAUUCACACAACUUUGCGCCGAGGUUACUUAAGGAUAUAACAUGUAAAACCCCUUGGGGUUUUGUAGACAUCAAGGAUGCAGAGGUUGCAGGAUGUAACAACUUUCGAGUACUCCACCGUAUAUUUUGGGCUUUUGGGCAGUGUGUGCCGGCUUUCAAUCAUUGUCGCCCUGUGCUAUGCAUUAAAGGCACACCACUAUGCGGGAAAUAUCAAGAGGUGUUGUUGACUGCUGUAGCAUUAGAUGCUAAUGGUUACUCCAUUCCAGUAGCAUGUGCCGUCGUUGAGGGGGAGACCAAGGAAAGCUGGAUGUGGUUUCUUAGGAAUUUGGAGCAAGCAGUGAGGCAUCCAUCGGAUGUUUGCAUUGUACAUGACUACAAAAGAGAGUUGAUCGAUGCUAUAGAGGACUUUCUAAGUUCCGAUCAGCAACAAUGGGGGAAAGUAGAAAGCCGGUGGUGCAUGGAACACCUUGCCGAAGACUUCUUUGCAUAUUUUGGCGACAAGAACCUGGGUUGCUGUUCAAGAAACUUUGUCAGCAGAGGCGACUAA